Molecule: long non-coding RNA, 712 nt
Organism: Canis lupus familiaris (dog)
Lineage: Eukaryota; Metazoa; Chordata; Mammalia; Carnivora; Canidae
Exons: 3
Source: RefSeq, a predicted model, not a curated record
UGUGGAAUGUGCACAUGUGCACCAUGUGCGUGUGUGUGCGCACGUGUGCGCUCGCAUGCACCCAUGGGUCUUCCUGGGUGAGUGUGCUUUUGUGCGUGUCUAGAAGGCACCAUCUCUUUCCUCCCAACCAGUACCCUGAGCAGAGUUUGUCCCCUAAAUGAUGCUAAGCUGUGUCUUGCCAAGUCCCUGAGCCCACCCUUGGAGCGCCCAGGGUGAGGAAGUGAGCUGACCUGACCCUGGUGACUCCCUAAAGGGUGCCUGAGCUGGCCUGGGAUGGACCUGAGGAUCCAGAUGCUUCCUCCCGGGGGCUGGGGCCAGGGUCAAGGUUGGGACAGUGCCACCUCCCCGGCCCUGCUGUCCAGCGUUUCCUGAGCACUUGCUACGUGCCAGACUUCUCCUUUAACGCCGGAUGGCCACCAUUGUCCCUGACAGUUAAACGAAAUGAUAAAAAAUCAACCUGAUGUCUCCAGCUGUAUGAACGCAACCUGGCGGCAGGCCUGAUUCCGUCCGGGACCUGUGGUUGGCUAAUAACCUCUGGUGCAGGGUGGGCCUGGUCAGCCCUCUUUGGAGCCCCCCGGCUCAAACGAGGUGUGCUCCCCACAAAUGAAAGGAGCCAACUGAACGAGGGUGCUAACUCACCUGCUAUCUAUCUAACCAGCUAACCUGUUAACUAAGCCUUUAUCUCUUGGGUUCAGAGUUACCCCUGCCCAUC